This 827-nucleotide small RNA is filed under the name Pongo abelii (Sumatran orangutan). RNAcentral's name for it is "processed transcript". The record is from RNAcentral. Lineage: Eukaryota; Metazoa; Chordata; Mammalia; Primates; Hominidae.
GGAGUCUCGCUCUGUUCCCCAGGCUGGAGUGCAGUGGCACGAUCUCAGCUCACUUCAGCCUCUGCCUUCCAGGUUCAAAUGAUUCUCCUGCCUCAGCCUCCCAAGUAGCUGGGAUUACAGGCAUGCACCACCACGCCAGCUGAUUUGUGUAUUUUUAGUGGAGACAGGGUUUCACUAUAUUGGCCAGGCUGGUCUCGAUUUCCUGACCUCAGUUGAUCCACCCGCCUCAGGCUCCCAAAGUGGUAGGAUUAUAGGCGCUAGCCACUGCACCUGGCUAUGUGUGGCUAUUUAAAAACACAGUCCUAAAAAACUGUUGGGACAGAGAAGAAUCAGAAUGAAAAUGUGAAAACCUCCGAUCCAGCAGUGGCAAACAUGACGAUAGGAAAGUGCUGCCCACGGUGCUGCUGGACGAGAUCGAGGCGGCCGAGCUGGAGGGCAAUGACGACAGGAUUGAGGGCGUGCUGUGUGGGGCCGUGAAGCAGCUGAAGGUCACCCGUGCCAAGCCCGACAGCACCCUCUACCUGAGCCUCAUGUACCUGGCCAAGAUCAAGCCCAACAUCUUCGCCACCGAGGGCGUCAUCGAGGCUCUGUGUAGCCUCCUGCGGCGGGACGCCUCCAUCAACUUCAAAGCCAAGGGGAACAGCCUGGUGUCCGUGCUGGCCUGUAACCUCCUCAUGGCCGCCUAUGAGGAGGACGAGAACUGGCCCGAGAUCUUUGUCAAGGUGUACAUUGAGGACUCCCUGGGGGAGCGGAUCUGGGUGGACAGCCCUCACUGUAAGACGUUUGUGGACAACAUCCAGACGGCCUUCAACACCAGAAUGCCCCCC